CUUAGAGAGACCUUAGAGUAUUUGUGGAAGCUUCAAGCCAAUUUUUCAGCCUUCCUGGUCUGGCAUUUACGUGAGUACCUUACUGCUGCACAGAGUAUGCUUCACCAGGCACUGGACUCCACAAAUGUCAGUAAGGUUCCUGGUGGCUAGGCUGGCAGCAUCGUUUGGCAUUAGGCUGACUUUCCUUCAUACUGCGUCUGACCGCUCACCUCCCAACCUCUGCCUCAAUAUGGAAGGUCCUCCUCAUACACUAAGGUAUGGAUUGUUGGCAUCCUGCAAUGUGAGGAGCUGUUCAUGGACCAGGCAGUUCAUUCCUUCCUCACUGGACCUCACACUCUUCAGACACUGAGCACCCGUACUGCUGUGGAGGACUAUUUGUUUUUCCUCUGCUAUGGUGUACGACUUAACACACCACGUGCUGGGGCAGCAGGUAUUCUACCAUCAGCAGUGCACUCUAGGGUAUCUUGGGGAGGGUUGACCUCUUCAGGUCAGGCUAGGAAUUAAAUGCGUUUCCUGGGUUCUUCUCUUAACGUUAAUUUUCUAUUCUCGUUUGCUUUUAUUUCCCCACUAAAUAUAAACUAAAGGACCUAAACAAAGCUGAAUGAUCAUGAGGUGGCUAAAUGAUCCGUGCGAACCCAAUAUGAAUUUGUAUCCAAGUCAUAUGCAUAAAGCCAUAGUAUCCCUGACACAUUUCCAUAGACCUGCAGAUUCUUUACUUACAGUCUCUCAGUCAGGGUCAAUCCCAUUUCACUUCCAGUAAUUCAGUGGCUGAAUAUGAAAUUGAAUUGGAGCUGGACCCAAGCCCAUUGAGUAAAUAGGGGAAAUGCACAACCUCCUCUCACAGUCCUACAGGCACAGCAACACUCACCCCAAAGAUUACCAAUAGUAUUGCUGUCCCAUCAUAUCAACGGUCAAAACAUAAUAAUCUUGUAAUGGCCCCCAUGCACUGUCCCUUGUCUCAUAAUGAUUCAUUAAAAGUUUUUAGUAAAAAUUAUUGUCAGAGCACCAAU
Molecule: long non-coding RNA, 1010 nt
Organism: Carassius gibelio (silver crucian carp)
Lineage: Eukaryota; Metazoa; Chordata; Actinopteri; Cypriniformes; Cyprinidae
Exons: 3
Source: RefSeq, a predicted model, not a curated record